CGUUUCUAAUAAUCAUUAAUAUUUAAUAUAAUUUCAUACAUCACUCUUUCUCUAAUCCACCAACUAAUUUAGUUUAGUAAAGCAACAAAUAUUAAAGCUCUCAUCAAACUUCGCAAAAAGGUUAUUCACAGUUAUCCCAUCAAAAAUAAAUAUUUAAUUUAUUUUGGAUUUUUUUUACAAAUUUUCCAUUCUAUUAAACCUAUUCAGAAAAAAAAAGAAAUUUUUUACGCAAAAAUGCUCCGCCGUUUUAUACGUAGUGUCAUAAAGAGUCUAUAGACACUGCAAAUAAUUUAAUACCGUGCCUCGAUUGCCAACCUAAGGUUCAUGAUCCGACCACUCCCUACAUCAUAACUUUUAUGCUUGGACCUCAGGGAGAUUGUGACAUGGUGAUGGCGUCUAAUAUCGUACGACACUAACACACCCUGCCAUCAUUAUUAGGAUUUUCUGAUGGCAUAUGAUCAAAUACGAGAAUUUCUAUAUGGACCAAAUUGCUGCAUGCAGGGGAGGAUGCUGCGCCGAGGAAACAUUAAAAGAGGAAUUCAAGGUGUGGUGUGUGGUGGUGUUCGUCCUUCAUCAUUGUAUAACACCCUUGGGUCGACUUACUGGCGUACAAUCAUAUAUCACAAGGAUAAGGUUAUUUAUCAGAGGCAAAGCUACUGGGGCUCUUAAGAUGAUGAUAAUGAUGACGAAGAAUAGAGCUGGAGAAGAUGGUUUAAAGGGUUAUAACUAUUGUAUUGUUUUAUAUAAAUUUAUGCAUAGAUUAGCAAAAUUGACUCGAUCCGUGAAGAUACUUAUAUCAUGAUAUCUUAUAUCACAAUAGAGUUAUACAUAGUGAUAGUGAAACAUAGAGUUUUUUGUUUAUUAGUCACGUUAUGUACGUCAAUUAAUGUACUUCAAUAUUUACGAGUGAUUAUAAGUGUCUUGUGAUUAUUAUCAAUUUAUUUCCCUGAUGUCGUGGGUGGUUUAACGUAGUAAGUAGGUUUGUAAGAAUAUAAGCAGACAAGAAGACACAUGUCAUGGGAUUCAGAUAGUUUUUUUUCAUGGGUUAAAUAUAAUAUAUGUUUGGGAUAAAGGUCGAGCGCUUAUAUACAAUAUAUUGAGUAUGAGAUGAAUUGAUGUGUGUUUGUCAUAUAUUUAUCUGACGGUGAAAUUUUUGGAUAAAAGAGGACUCGACUAGGAAGCUAAGAAGGUUUCCAUAAUUGGUAGAAUCCCAGGCGGUGUGAUCCGCACUGAGUCUCCCCCAGGUUUAGCUUCAGUUUUCAAAAUCCUUCCUUCCUUCCUUUCCUUAUGGCUGUAUCCCCAAUGGGGGACAUGUGCCAGAGUUUUCAAAAUCCUUCUAGAAACCUUUUGUUGGCCCCUAUACUUAUAUUUCAUGUAUAAUACAGUGAAAGAAAAAUAUAGGCACGUAAAG
This is a long non-coding RNA of Cephus cinctus (wheat stem sawfly), 1411 nucleotides long. RefSeq lists it as uncharacterized. Lineage: Eukaryota; Metazoa; Arthropoda; Insecta; Hymenoptera; Cephidae. The record is from RefSeq and is a predicted model, not a curated record. The transcript has 3 exons.